GAUGAACGCUGGCGGCGUGCCUAAUACAUGCAAGUCGAGCGAACGGACGAGAAGCUUGCUUCUCUGAUGUUAGCGGCGGACGGGUGAGUAACACGUGGAUAACCUACCUAUAAGACUGGGAUAACUUCGGGAAACCGGAGCUAAUACCGGAUAAUAUUUUGAACCGCAUGGUUCAAAAGUGAAAGACGGUCUUGCUGUCACUUAUAGAUGGAUCCGCGCUGCAUUAGCUAGUUGGUAAGGUAGCGGCUUACCAAGGCAACGAUGCAUAGCCGACCUGAGAGGAUGAUCGGCCACACUGGAACUGAGACACGGUCCAGACUCCUACGGGAGGCAGCAGUAGGGAAUCUGCCGCAAUGGGCGAAAGCCUGACGGAGCAACGCCGCGUGAGUGAUGAAGGUCUUCGGAUCGUAAAACUCUGUUAUUAGGGAAGAACAUAUGUGUAAGUAACUGUGCACAUCUUGACGGUACCUAAUCAGAAAGCCACGGCUAACUACGUG
Molecule: ribosomal RNA, 497 nt
Filed under: uncultured bacterium
Lineage: Bacteria
Description: partial 16S ribosomal RNA
Rfam family: Bacterial small subunit ribosomal RNA
Source: RNAcentral